UCCUCAAUAGCUCAGCGGUAGAGCAGUCGGCUGUUAACCGGUUUGUCGUAGGUUCAAAUCCUACUUGGGGAG
This 72-nucleotide transfer RNA is filed under the name Carteria sp. SAG 8-5. RNAcentral describes it as "tRNA-Asn". It matches the Rfam family "tRNA". From Rfam's summary of the family: Transfer RNA (tRNA) molecules are approximately 80 nucleotides in length. Their secondary structure includes four short double-helical elements and three loops (D, anti-codon, and T loops). The record is from RNAcentral. Lineage: Eukaryota; Viridiplantae; Chlorophyta; Chlorophyceae; Chlamydomonadales; Chlamydomonadaceae.